Long non-coding RNA from Nanorana parkeri, 193 nucleotides. RefSeq lists it as uncharacterized. Lineage: Eukaryota; Metazoa; Chordata; Amphibia; Anura; Dicroglossidae. The transcript has 3 exons. The record is from RefSeq and is a predicted model, not a curated record.
UUUCUCUGCUGCAAGUGAUGGAAUGUAAACAAGAACUUGGUUGAGCGUUUCAGUCAGGAAGUACAAGUCACAGAAGCGCGCUGUUUCUAUGGCUUUCAAAUUGCAAUGGAGAAUAUUCAUCCGGAGAUGUACAGCCUUCUCAUUAACACAUAUAUUAAAGAUCCCAAAGAGAGGGAGUUCUUGUGCAAUGCAA